This 301-nucleotide ribosomal RNA is filed under the name uncultured bacterium. RNAcentral's name for it is "partial 16S ribosomal RNA". It matches the Rfam family "Bacterial small subunit ribosomal RNA", at positions 509 to 807 of the family's 1533-position model. The record is from RNAcentral.
CAGUCGCCGCGGUAAUACGUAGGUGGCAAGCGUUGUCCGAAAUUAUUGGGCGUAAAGGGCUCGCAGGCGGUUUCUUAAGUCUGAUGUGAAAGCCCCCGGCUCAACCGGGGAGGGUCAUUGGAAACCGGGAAACUUGAGUGCAGAAAAGGAGAGUGGAAUUCCACGUGUAGCGGUGAAAUGCGUAGAGAUGUGGAGGAACACCAGUGGCGAAGGCGACUCUCUGGUCUGUAACUGACGCUGAGGAGCGAAAGCGUGGGGAGCGAACAGGAUUAGAUACCCCCGUAGUCCCUGUCUCUUAUAC